RNAcentral lists this long non-coding RNA (589 nucleotides) under Anas platyrhynchos platyrhynchos (common mallard). RNAcentral describes it as "lncRNA (ENSAPLG00000020638.1)". Lineage: Eukaryota; Metazoa; Chordata; Aves; Anseriformes; Anatidae. The record is from RNAcentral.
AUAAAAGAGCAAAAAGCUGUGUAGCUCAUUGACAGGCACAGCCUGUAGGCAGACAAGCUAAUGUUACCUGGGAUUUUUGAGCCACAGCCUUCAUAGUGUUAGUCCUUCUGUGCUUUUAAAUGUUUUCCACUGAUAUUUUUUCAAAAGAUAUUCACUUUGAAUUUUGUAUAUAGCACUUAAUCUUUCAGAAAUAUACAGUUAAAAUUGAACUAGGAAGAACAGCCGCAGCUGUCCCUCCCAGAUAAGGGAUGGGAGCAUUCAGCUCUUUGUUUGCAGCAGAGAAAGCCUGGAGACUGGCCAGUGUUAAGCUAGAGCAGCGCUGUAAGACACUUUAAUAGCACAGUCUGGAAAGUCUGAUCAUCAUUUUGUUUUCAUGUUCUCUGCCAAAUGAUGCAAGUACUAUAUGUAUGGAGAAAUGCACUGGAAUGUGUAAUACAAGCAUCAGAUCUAUACAAAAAGGUCAGAAGGAACAAAAGCUAGUGUGUCCAUUCUGUUGGGCCCAUGGGAAGGAGACAACUGGUACAAGGGCAAUGAGGAAUACAGCCUGAGAUGAGGGCUCCCAGGCAACGAAGAUGGUAGCUAUUCCUGG